Long non-coding RNA from Cyprinus carpio carpio, 1056 nucleotides. Lineage: Eukaryota; Metazoa; Chordata; Actinopteri; Cypriniformes; Cyprinidae. The record is from Ensembl.
GCGGGGGCUAAUGUUUGAGAAUUCAGCUGGUUGGCAGGCCGGAAGAGCCUUCGUACUCCGGUGGGAGCGACUUGAGCCAAUGCUCAACGGGAGCUGUUCACAGUGUUGGAACGGAUAAGCCCUACCAGCCGCUGGGGGAGGAGCAAGCGUGAUUAGGAUAUAGGAUAUAUUGAUAUAGCCCGAUCAGGAGGGUCCGGGUUGUCUUGACUGGAAUAGGUCACAGUGUCAGCAUACGGGGCCCUACUGGCUGACGAGCCCCUGCUGAUCAGUGGGCAGAGGGCAAAUGCCUGACUGAGAGGGCCCAUGAAGCCUCCAACUGGAGAUCAAGACUCAGGACGAUGGAUGUGUGGGUCCUCUCGGUUUGCCAACCAGCUGACAUCUGAUGGUAGAUAAAGACUCACUGCAUCAGAUGGGUAAGCCUCGCCAGGCGGGGAGAGAGAAAAGAAAAACCCGUCUGGGAGGGCUCUCGCAGCAUCGGAUGGUCAACCAUCAAACGGAAAGGUACAGUUAUUUGGCCGGGAGACUCUUGUCGACAUCUGAUGGGAGCUCAAUACUCACGACAUCGAAUGGGUAAGCCUCGCCGACCGUAGGAUGGAAAAGGUAAGGUUUUUUUUUUUGGGAGUCGUCUAAAAAGUGGUUUGUGGGGGAAUUUAGCCCCUGAGAAUUUCUAAGGCGGAGGUACUCGAAGAUGGACUGGUAUGGUUGGAUUAGAGAAGAAAAGUCAGGUAGUCUAGCCGGGAGGCUCUCGCCGAUGUCAUACAGGAGCUCAGUACUUAGGGCAUCAAAUGGGUAAGCCUCACCGACCAUAGCAUGGAAAAGGUAAAGUUGUCUGGCCGGGAGAAUCUCGCCAACAUCCGACAGGAGCUCAAUACUCACGGCAUGGACAGGUAAGCUUCGCCAGUAGUCAGACACAAAAGGCAAGGUUUGCUCAAGCGGGAGGCUCGUGCGGCAUCUGACUGGAGUUCAAUACUCACAGCAUCAGAUGGGUGUGCCUUGCCGGUAGUCGAAAGAGAAAAAUAUUUGCUCCACAGGAAGCACUCUUGCAGCACCUGACAG